AUAUUGUAUAUAUGUACCUCUUUCUGUAUUUGCAAGUUUACAUCGUUUGCAUUUUGUGAAUAGAAUACGAUCUUUUAUUUUUAACGUUGUCUGAAGGCAUUUAUGUGCAAACGUGUGAAUAAAACAGAACAGAAAGAAACCUUACCUAGAGCAAUGGUCAUUUUGACUGAUGAAAAAGCAAGCACUCAUUGUCUGGUCAAAUUCUGAUUGUCCCUUAGAGUGCCACAUAUCUGGAUUGUGUUCUAUGGAGCACUCCUAGACUAAAGUGCAGGUCAAAAUGUAAAUAUAAAAUGUAAAUAUAUUGUAACACUACAACACAACUUUCUUGCUUUUUCAAUAGGUUUUGAUAGCCUUUGCCAGUUAUUGAAAAGCAGCAGCUGGGAUAGUCGCCAUGAACAUUGAUAGGUUGUAUUGCUCGUCAUGUCUGAUUUGCGGAGUUUGUCUGCGGCAUUGGAGGCCUCAACUCCCCUACAAAAAGGAACAAUGAUAAAAAGCCUCACAGCAACAUCAACAUUGACACCAACAGCCAAGGACUCAUUUCGUAACAUUUAAUUCAUUGGGCAACACCUUCUAGGAAAACAGAAUAAUGCAGGCAGGACUCCGAACCUGGAUGUUCUAGGCCAACAUUUGGGGAGGGACCGCAUCAGCUGGGCUGUGCUUCUCCUUCCCCAUGAAAAAACUAUACAGUUUGCUUCAACAGACCUUGUAGAAUCAAACAUGGCAUAAUAACAAUGGGGGGCACAUUUACAAGAAACAUUUCUCCUAGGGACAGCAUCAAAAAAAUCCCAAGUCCAAAAUACGAGACAAUGUGGCGGUCCAGGCCGCGGCUAAUAUGUUCCACUAAGAGAGAAAAACGUCCAUAGAUGAAUCGUAGUAAUGACCAAGAAUACCGUAUAUACAGCAGAUGUACACAUAAAAGUAACACUCAGACAUUUGCAGUUAGUAGAUAGUACACUCACAUUAUCACAUUAUUUUGAUGUGUUUCGUAACAACCAUGUUGCGCAGCAUGAGAGAAAGAAAAAAAAAACAUUUUAUCAUGCACACAUAUAUAUAUAUAGUACUUUUUUUUUUAGCUGUGACUUAUUACUUAGACUAGUUAGUUCAGGCUGUUAACUGUCUUGAGAGUUGGUUAUUACUUGGUGGCCUUGAUGGUGGCAUCUGGAUUGCACGGGUGUGUUUCGUCAUUUGAAUAUUCCUUCACAUGUUGCCUGGUUUGAUUAUUGAGAGAAAGGAUGCUUGUCGGGAGUGAUUAUGCAAAAUCGCAGAAUUGGCAGCACACAGAAGCUUGCUGCAAGGUGCAAAUGCUGGUUUGGAGAACUGUCUUGACAUUGGUGGCAAGUAGGCUAUUGAGUUGUGUUCACUGAUACGAGAACAUGGCGUCAAAUGAAAACGAACUCUCGAUUUAUCUGUUUUUGCUAUGGGAAAUUUGCAGUGCAUUUUUGUUUUGGCCAUAUGCUUGAAACCUUGCAAACGGGUGCCAAAAGGUGAUGUCAGUGCUGUACAAAUUACAGUGUUAAUUACUGCUUGUACAAGAUCUACUACAGCUACAGGCGCGAGUAGUAUUUACAGUUUAUAUAACAGUUGUCCUCGAUGAGCUGAAGUCAAGUUCUUCACAGGCUUAAGUCAUGACACACGGAUGACAAAACACAGAAACAGCAAAGUUGCCUUCCUUGUCGCAACUGAGGUCUACAUGUUCCUGGACUGAUCUUGGCUUAGCGAGGAUGAGAUUUGCUUCUUUUGCUCUUGAGAAGGCAAGCUCUGAUAAGCCACUCGCAUCGCAUGCUCACAUCUGACCUAACACACCAUAUCCUUCCACUAGUGCUAGAUCUAUCACCAAGACAAGGCAGUUUAUCGCGCACUAACUGACCUUCGCUAUGGCUAGCUUGACAAAUAUGGUAACUAGUGGUUAACAUAGAUGAGAAGCAAGAAUUAACAAGACACACUUGACACUGCACGGAAAGCGCCUGACAAACAACUGUGCUGGGGUUCUGAUGCAGGGUUGGACACAAUGGAAUGUUUGCCGUGGAAUAAUGCUAUGCUAAAGCCACCGGUUUGUUUGUGCUUUGAUCACACUGAUGCAGAUUCUGCAUCGGGGUGCAGAAAGUGCUUCACCUGACAACAGUGCUUGCACCUGUUAAAUCAGUAAGAUUUGCUGUGGUUACUGUGGAAAGUGGGGAAAUGUUGUGGACGUACAUGUAUAUGAUGUGGAGUUGUAUGCUGUGUUAGACGAGUUGAGUUAGUAUAGUGUAUGAAAUGUUACUGGAAAUGCUUGAUGCAAAACUUGUGUGAUUGAGAGCACAAGUGAGUCCUGUGGCAGCAUGUUUCUUUUCCGUGGCUUUAUUAUCUUUUUUUUAUAUUCCAAUAUUGCAAGUGGUUUUGGAAACACAAACAGCAGCACAUAGAGCUUGACAGACUUGCCAACAAGAGUUCCAACAAUUUUUUUCUUUUUAGGAACUGGACUUUUCUGUUCACUACAACAUAAUGCAUGUGAAUCGUGAUUGUGGAAUUGCCGCCUAAGAAUUGAAAUGCUUGACAUACUGUCAUUUACAGAGAAACGAAUUGAAAAGGGGGCUAAUGGGCUUUUGUUAGGUGUAACAGCUGUGUGGCAUAUGGAACUCCCAAAGGACCACUGUCUGUAACUAUUCUUUUGGACGGCCCAAAAUGGUCCAUUUUUAGAGAGAAGUCUCUAAGUGACGGUAAUGACUUGCUCGGAAUAUUGUCAUUUUGUGUUUUACUAUUUCCUAGACCUCUUCCUAAACAUUUUUGAAAGCUUUAUAGCUUUAAGCUACAUUCUGCAGCAUUGGUUCAACAGUCAGAAUGUGGAAAAGGAGAGCAACACCCGAUUUUCUAAAACGGUACAUGAAUAUGUAGCUUUGCAUAGAAUAGCAGCUUUGAUGUCUCCACCCAGAUGACCCAGCAAUAAGCUCUUCGGUAUUACAAACGUGGACGCAUAUAUCGCUUUUAGGAGCGAAGUGUUCAAUUAACUUAGCCAAUUGAUGUUCUUUGAGGCAUUUUCAGGACUUUUUUCGCUAAAUUACAAACACUGCCACAUACGUUUUGCAGCUUCUGAUACACGGACAACGUCACGGGCGCUUUUUGUUCGUCGCGUGACUUCAACACCUAAAUUACGAGUGGCAUCAGCGACGUCACGACUGAAAACCUUUGUGCUACGAGCUACAUCCUCUUACAUUGGCAAGUCUGGCUCAACUCGCGGCACGUCAGUGCAGGGGUUAACGAGACGAAGAAAACGCAACGUCAUCAACGAAUACAACACGCCAGCAGAAGCCGAGAUACGUAAGUGGGGCGGGACAGAGGGCCGGCCAUCUAACCGACGACUACAAUACGCCGUCUUCCAGCACCCGGAAGCCUGCGCGCGGUAGAAGCGGAUAUUGUAGCGAGAGCGAGAUUGAAAGACUUGUGGGUCGUGUGUACGUGUCCUCUCCGCGAGCCGACGGGGCGGGUUGCCGCUCGUCGCGGAGCACUGCCACUGAGACACGGGACUGCAGCGGCCCCGGACCGGAUCGGAGCAGUCGGUUCGAAACCGCGAGACGCCGGUUUUUUUUUUUUAUCCGGACCGAGAGCCUGCAGCGCCCGUUCGAUGAUUACAUGUUUCACAAUCACACCGCUACCUACACAGCUUUGGUCUACGAACACUAUUAGUACGGGAGGCGCGGUGCGCAACCUGGGCUCACGGACGUGUGCGGCCUCCGCCAGUUCUAGCUCUUUUACACAGCAUGGCUCAUUACGCCGACUUGCGCGUGAACAACUAAUGAUAAGAAUUCCACCGAAGGUUCAAAGGAAAACCCGUACGCAGCAGCCUGCGAGGCCGAUGAGACUGCCGCAGUCACGUGGUCACUUUCUAUGUCCGUUGAUUUUGAAAUCGAAGAUCACUGAAGUCCGCGAGCUCCAUUGGCUCCCGUCCGCGAGCUCGAACGAGGGAGCCAAUUAGGCAAGCGCGAAUUUCAAUGGCUUUGGGUUCAGUGGUCGUUGAAAGAGAUUGUACGCGUGACUGCUUCAGGCGCAGACGCCGGCGUUGUCGCGAGGCUCGUGCGGCCCGACCAUAUGUUUGAAUGAAGCUAGCAGCGAAUAUUUAAUGCAAUGUCUUCCGCGUGUUGUAAGCCUUUUCACAGCAUCAGCAGUUAUGGAAGCCACGUUAUCAGCUUACGUACGUCUCACUGGCGCUGACUGCUAUACGGAACGGAAGGACACUGCGAACGUGAAGUACGUGCUUCCCGGAUUGCGCCACGUCGCCCCGUUAUAAUCUACAACCUGCCGCUGGCGUUCUCGAGCGGAUUCCACGAGGGUCCUUCCUCCUCGCGCGGAGGCUCUGCCCACGGCUGCUUCUCUCCCGAUGCGAAGAUGCCGUAGAAGAUGACGCCACCGAAGUGGAUCAGGCUCGCGAUCAGGAACACUUUCUCCCAGCGGGACGCGUCGUCACCGCCGUGGAUCUGGAACGAUGCCACCAAAUACUCGGAUAAGCCAAGCAAGCUCUUUCUGCAUAUAGACUGACACGUGCUGCCUUCGUCCUAUUGGCCGUGUGUUAUGCUGAGCGCUGCACCCUCCUGGAGACCACUUCCCUUGUGAGUGCCCGCUGUACACGCAAGAGACGCAGUCAGUGACUCCAUGUUCAGCACUUAUUGACAGCUGGCCAUUUUCGGAGCCCAUUGUCUUGGUUCGUAGUCAAAGUACUGUACCCAUCAGGAGAUGAAGGCCGCCGGGAAUUUUUCAAUGUAGCGAAGCCGAUGUUAGAUUUUAAGGAGUGUUGCCAAUUGUUUUUGUUUUGUUUUUAGUCGCGUGAAUGAGAUUCUCUCUCCUGGUCGUCGUCGUCGUUCGACCCUUUACGCUUGUUUUACCUUUACCAUAACGCUCAGUAUUUGGAUCG
This is a long non-coding RNA of Dermacentor albipictus, 4882 nucleotides long. RefSeq lists it as uncharacterized. The record is from RefSeq and is a predicted model, not a curated record. Lineage: Eukaryota; Metazoa; Arthropoda; Arachnida; Ixodida; Ixodidae.